This 275-nucleotide ribosomal RNA is filed under the name uncultured bacterium. Its description in RNAcentral is "partial 16S ribosomal RNA". It matches the Rfam family "Bacterial small subunit ribosomal RNA", at positions 338 to 630 of the family's 1533-position model. The record is from RNAcentral.
CCUACGGGAGGCUGCAGUGGGGAAUUUUCCGCAAUGGGCGAAAGCCUGACGGAGCGACGCCGCGUGGAGGAUGAAGGAUUUCGGUCUGUAAACUCCUGUCAGGGGGGACGAUGAUGACGGUACCCCCAAAGGAAGCAUCGGCUAACUACGUGCCAGCAGCCGCGGUAAGACGUAGGAUGCGAGCGUUGUUCGGAAUUAUUGGGCGUAAAGCGUGCGUAGGCGGCUAUUUAAGUCUGGUGUUAAAGCUAGGGGCUCAACCCCUGUGUUGCACUGGA